This 443-nucleotide ribosomal RNA is filed under the name uncultured bacterium. RNAcentral's name for it is "partial 16S ribosomal RNA". It matches the Rfam family "Bacterial small subunit ribosomal RNA", at positions 338 to 795 of the family's 1533-position model. The record is from RNAcentral.
CCUACGGGAGGCAGCAGUGGGGAAUAUUGGGCAAUGGGCGAAAGCCUGACCCAGCGACGCCGCGUGAAUGAAGAAGGCUUUCGGGUUGUAAACUUCUUUUCUCAGGGACGAAGAUAGCGACGGUUCACUAGGACUACGCGACGGCUAACUACGUGCCAGCAGCGGCGGUAAUACGUAGGUGGCAAGCGUUAUCCGGAUUUAGUGGGUGUAAAGGGGGAGUAGGCGGGAGCGCAAGUCAGAUGUGAAAACUCAGGGCUCAACCAUGCGCCUGCAUUGGAAACUGUGCUGCUGGAGUGCUGGAGAGGCAAGCGGAAUUCCGUGUGUAGCGGUGAAAUGCGUAGAUAUACGGAGGAACACCAGUGGCGAAGGCGGAUUGCUGGACAGUAACUGACGUUGAGGCGCGAAAGCGUGGGGAGCAAACAGGAUUAGAUACCCGAGUAGUC